This 422-nucleotide long non-coding RNA is filed under the name Bos taurus (domestic cattle). RNAcentral describes it as "long non-coding RNA NONBTAT013855". Lineage: Eukaryota; Metazoa; Chordata; Mammalia; Artiodactyla; Bovidae. The record is from RNAcentral.
GCCAACGUAACUUCUGCCAAUUAGAAAAACCAACCAGUGUCAGUCAAGUUCCGUGAAAAAUGCCAUCCCCGCUGGAAACACUGACGUUGCUCACCAUUGAUCUGUCCUGUGGGGAAAACAAAAGUGACUGUGCGUGGUGCCGUUGUGUGAUGUCAGCAUGACAUUGUUUUGAGUGUGGCAUUAUUUCCUGGUGCUCGUUUCCUGGAUUGUAUUAUCCGCUUUCCUUUACCAAGGCAGACAGAACAGCUGCCUUAGCCUGACAACCGGUUGUCCUCAGCGCAAAUGAACUUCAGCUUUGGGAAAUUCAGGCCAGAAAGGUUCCGAGGGGCUCUGGGAGUGACGGUGCUUUCUAGGUCGUAGGUCAUAUGUGGAGAUGGAGGGCCGCUUCCACCCGCUCAGCACUCACGUCAGGUACACAGACC